Molecule: ribosomal RNA, 258 nt
Filed under: uncultured bacterium
Lineage: Bacteria
Description: partial 16S ribosomal RNA
Rfam family: Bacterial small subunit ribosomal RNA
Source: RNAcentral
CAGGUACAGAGGGAUGCUACCGGGCGACCGGAUGCGGAUCUCGAAAGCCUGUCCCAGUUCGGACUGGAGUCUGCAACCCGACUCCACGAAGUUGGAUUCGCUAGUAAUCGCGCAUCAGCCAUGGCGCGGUGAAUACGUUCCCGGGCCUUGUACACACCGCCCGUCAAGCCAUGGGAGCCGGGGGUGCUUGAAGUGCGUCGCCGCGAGGCGCGCCCUAGAGCAAAACCGGUGACUGGGGCUAAGUCGUAACAAGGUAAC